GUGCUCACUUUGACAGCACAUAUACUAAAAUUGGAAUAAUACAGAGAAGGUUAGCAUGGCCCUCGUGCAAAGAUGGCACACUCAUUUGUGAAGUCUUCAAUAUUUUU
This 107-nucleotide small nuclear RNA is filed under the name Heterocephalus glaber (naked mole-rat). Lineage: Eukaryota; Metazoa; Chordata; Mammalia; Rodentia; Bathyergidae. The record is from RNAcentral.